GCAAUGUAAGUCACUUUGGAUAAAAGUGUCUGAUAAAUGUAAAUGAAAAGGACAGCAUUAGUCAACAGGUUAGCUGAACCAAAAUGAUCAAUAUUAAGGGUUGAAUACAAGUUAUUAUCUGUACACAGAAUCUAUGGGAUGCUGUCUAUUACUACAGGAGAUUACUGUUUUAGAAGAUUUUUUAUAAGUUGUUAUAAUCUUUUAUAAUUUGGAGGCGGAUGACGGCGCCUUAUAUUUCUGUUCAGUAAGUGAAUGCAAAGUAUAUCAAACUCUGGGAGAGUUAUGAGAUUCAAGAACACAAAAUAAAAGAAAAAGAUCAAUAGGGGGCAGUGCGGUUCAACAAAUGUUCACUUUAACUUUGAUGCAAAUCAAAAACAUGCACAGUGUGAGCUGCACAUCAAGUCUGAUCUGUAUCUCUGUUUAGGAAGGAAUCUUAAUCUUUUUUUUUAUGUUUCAUUCAUCAUUUGAGAACCUGUAAAGCUGAGCUGUAUCAACAUCCUAAAAGCACUUGGUAAAAAGACCUAGCAUGAUGAACACUCUCCUUAACAUAUUUGUAUAUCUAAUGAUGAUAACAGUUGCCUGUCUUGGUGGAACUGUUCUCCAGACGCCUGAUGAUCUACUGAAGAAACGAGAUGAAUCUGCUGUGAUCACUUGUACUCACAAGAUACCGAGCUAUGACCGAAUACUGUGGUACAAACAAAGUCAGGACUCAUUGGGCCUAAAGUUGAUGGGAUACCUUAUUGCUGUGUCUAAGAAUAAAGAGCCUGAAUUUGAAAACAAGAUCAACUUGGAAGGAAAUGGAAGAAAUAAAGGCAUUCUGACUCUCAGCAACCUCUCACCGACUGACAGUGCAGUGUAUUUCUGUGCAGCAUAUUACACAGUGCUCAGAGUCACCUCUGUCUGAUACAAAAACCUCUUUUAAACUGCUUAUACUUCAAAAGCGUAUAUUUUAUCAUGUUCAUCUCAACAUCUGUGGGUUUUGAUUCCGUGCCAAUACUAAACACAACACACCUGCACGCUUAAAGUGU
Carassius auratus (goldfish) is the source of this 1028-nucleotide non-coding RNA. The record is from the annotation of a RefSeq genome assembly. Lineage: Eukaryota; Metazoa; Chordata; Actinopteri; Cypriniformes; Cyprinidae.